Molecule: non-coding RNA, 1079 nt
Organism: Pelobates cultripes (western spadefoot toad)
Lineage: Eukaryota; Metazoa; Chordata; Amphibia; Anura; Pelobatidae
Source: the annotation of a GenBank genome assembly
GGUACAUGCAGUGGCCCCCAACAGUAUUUGGUCCAAAGCAGACAUAACUGGGAGAAGAAAUGUCCAUAGUCCACCUGAUUUUUUUGAUUUUUUUUUUUAGCCUUGAGCGGCAGCUUAAAUAAAUAUAACAUUUACUUGAAGCCUUUACAGAGAGAUACACAUAUACUUCUAGUCAAAUGAACUUUAUUGAUUAAUUGUAAAAGCUCCUACUGUCCAGUUCUGGAUACUUUAUAUUCGGAAAGUCAUAAAUAAGGCUUUUUGAAAGACUGCAAGAACGGUGCUUGACCUGAAUCAUAAUAAAGACUUGUAAACUCGAACUAUGCAUUGCUUAGGGAAUGUAUUGAGAUAAAAUUAUAGAAACAAGGAAGUAUUUCAAGGUUCCAUUAAAAUUAUCCUAUUUUCUGUUGAAAGAGGGUUGAUAAAAUAAGAUGACAUAAUGUUAAGUUUCAGGGAAGUAAACUCAGGGGAUAAAUCAGGCCAAGUUUCUUUACAGAAGAUAAUGUAUAUGCAUGCAAAACUAUUCCAGUAGUCCUGAUAAAGACUUCAGAGAAGAAGAAUGCUCGUGAUGGACAAACUGCUGUUGGUAGAAAUGCAUUCAAGAAUAGGUAUUGUGGAUCUUGAUUGAGAUGACACAGAUGGAUGGGACAGUUGACCUUUAUCAAUCGAUCAGUCAUGUAGUCCUAUUUAAUACUGAUCACAAAAACUAUAGUCCUUUCAUUUCUUAUACAUUUUUAAUACAUGGUGUACCUUUACUUGCUGUAUGGGUUUGGUAGUUAUUUACUCACAUAAUAUAUCGUCGGUUUAGUUUGAUGUUCUAGAGCAGUGAAUUUUGUCCACCAUGUUUGUGAGAAAGUCGUAAAGAGUCCAUGACUGUUACACGAAAAAAUAUGAGGCUUUUGCCCACUGCAACAAUGUAGCAAUGUUCCUUGUUGUCAUUCUCCUAUGAUACUGAUCAUCAGGAGUGGUUGUAUAAAUAUUAUUUACUCAAUUAAUAAUAAUCAAUUGAUUAUUAGUUUUUGGUUACAACUGAGAAACAAAUCACUGUCACAUUUAUCAUGGAUAUUGUGUGCACAGAAAAC